Molecule: ribosomal RNA, 389 nt
Filed under: uncultured eukaryote
Lineage: Eukaryota
Description: partial 18S ribosomal RNA
Rfam family: Eukaryotic small subunit ribosomal RNA
Source: RNAcentral
CAAUAGCGUAUAUUCAAGUUGUUGCAGUUAAAAAGCUCGUAGUUGAAUUUCUGGUCUGCGCGGACGGUUUGGCCGCAAGGUCAAUUACUGUUGAGAUCGUGGACCUUUUUUUUCUUCUGGGAAACCAUUGUGCUCUUUACUGAGUGCGGUGGGGAACCAGGACAGUUACUUUGAAAAAAUUAGAGUGUUUAAAACAGGCAUUUUUCGCUUGAAUACAUUAGCAUGGAAUAACGGAAUAGGACUUUGUUUCUAUUUUGUUGGUUUGAGAAAUAAAGUAAUGAUUAAUAGGGACAGUUGGGGGCAUUAGUAUUCCAUUGUCAGAGGUGAAAUUCUUGGAUUUAUGAAAGACUAACUUCUGCGAAAGCAUUUGCCAAGGAUGUUUUCAUUAA